AAAUUGAAGAGUUUGAUCAUGGCUCAGAUUGAACGCUGGCGGCAGGCCUAACACAUGCAAGUCGAACGGUAACAGGAAGCAGCUUGCUGCUUUGCUGACGAGUGGCGGACGGGUGAGUAAUGUCUGGGAAACUGCCUGAUGGAGGGGGAUAACUACUGGAAACGGUGGCUAAUACCGCAUAACGUCGCAAGACCAAAGAGGGGGACCUUCGGGCCUCUUGCCAUCAGAUGUGCCCAGAUGGGAUUAGCUUGUUGGUGAGGUAACGGCUCACCAAGGCGACGAUCCCUAGCUGGUCUGAGAGGAUGACCAGCCACACUGGAACUGAGACACGGUUCAGACUCCUACGGGAGGCAGCAGUGGGGAAUAUUGCA
This 371-nucleotide ribosomal RNA is filed under the name Salmonella enterica. RNAcentral's name for it is "bacterial SSU rRNA". It matches the Rfam family "Bacterial small subunit ribosomal RNA", at positions 1 to 368 of the family's 1533-position model. Lineage: Bacteria; Pseudomonadati; Pseudomonadota; Gammaproteobacteria; Enterobacterales; Enterobacteriaceae. The record is from RNAcentral.